GACGAACGCUGGCGGCGUGCUUAACACAUGCAAGUCGAACGGAAAGGCCCUGCUUUUGUGGGGUGCUCGAGUGGCGAACGGGUGAGUAACACGUGAGUAACCUGCCCUUGACUUUGGGAUAACUUCAGGAAACUGGGGCUAAUACCGGAUAGGAGCUCCUGCUGCAUGGUGGGGGUUGGAAAGUUUCGGCGGUUGGGGAUGGACUCGCGGCUUAUCAGCUUGUUGGUGGGGUAGUGGCUUACCAAGGCUUUGACGGGUAGCCGGCCUGAGAGGGUGACCGGCCACAUUGGGACUGGGAUGCGGCCCAGACUCCUACGGGAGGCAGCAGUGGGGAAUAUUGCACAAUGGGCGGAAGCCUGAUGCAGCAACGCCGCGUGCGGGAUGACGGCCUUCGGGUUGUGAACCGCUUUCGCCUGUGACGAAGCGUGAGUGACGGUAAUGGGUAAAGAAGCACCGGCUAACUACGUG
RNAcentral lists this ribosomal RNA (468 nucleotides) under uncultured bacterium. Its description in RNAcentral is "partial 16S ribosomal RNA". It matches the Rfam family "Bacterial small subunit ribosomal RNA", at positions 28 to 507 of the family's 1533-position model. The record is from RNAcentral.